RNAcentral lists this ribosomal RNA (409 nucleotides) under uncultured eukaryote. RNAcentral describes it as "SSU rRNA". It matches the Rfam family "Eukaryotic small subunit ribosomal RNA", at positions 570 to 990 of the family's 1831-position model. The record is from RNAcentral.
GCACCCGCGGUAAUUCCAGCUCCAAUAGCGUAUAUUAAAGUUGUUGCAGUUAAAAAGCUCGUAGUUGGAUUUCUGCGAGGGUGCCAAUGUCCGCCGACGCGCGUGCGCAGCGGCGCCCUCGCAUCCUUCUGUUACCACCUCUCGGCAUUCACUUGCCGGUGGUAGGCUCAGAGAAUUUACCUUGAGAAAAUUAGAGUGUUUCAGGCAGGCUAGGCCGGAAUACAUUAGCAUGGAAUAAUGGAAUAGGACUACGGUCUCGUUGUUGGUUUGAGGGACUGCAGUAAUGAUUAAUAGGGAUAGUUGGGGGCAUUAGUAUUUAAUUGUCAGAGGUGAAAUUCUCAGAUUUGUUAAAGACUAACUUAUGCGAAAGCAUUUGCCAAGGAUGUUUUCAUCGAUCAAGAACGAAAGU